Molecule: ribosomal RNA, 318 nt
Filed under: uncultured Methanosaeta sp.
Lineage: Archaea; Methanobacteriati; Methanobacteriota; Methanomicrobia; Methanotrichales; Methanotrichaceae
Description: bacterial SSU rRNA
Rfam family: Archaeal small subunit ribosomal RNA
Source: RNAcentral
GCAUCCUGUUAAGUCAGGCAACGAGCGAGACCCACGCCCACAGUUGCCAGCGUACUCUCUGGAGGUGACGGGUACACUGUGGGACCGCCGCUGCUAAAGCGGAGGAAGGAGUGGGCAACGGUAGGUCAGUAUGCCCCGAAUAUCCCGGGCUACACGCGAGCUACAAUGGUUGGUACAAUGGGUAUCUACCCCGAAAGGGGACGGGAAUCUCCUAAAACCAAUCUUAGUUCGGAUUGAGGGCUGCAACUCGCCCUCAUGAAGCUGGAAUCCGUAGUAAUCGCGUUUCAACAGAACGCGGUGAAUACGUCCCUGCUCCUU